GACUCGGUGGCGAAACGGCUAUCGCAUCUGUGCAAUAUGUUCGCGACAUUGGACACGAUACGUGUUGGCAGGAGGUUCCCAGUUCGAAUCUGGGCCGGGUAA
Molecule: non-coding RNA, 102 nt
Organism: Stereum hirsutum FP-91666 SS1
Lineage: Eukaryota; Fungi; Basidiomycota; Agaricomycetes; Russulales; Stereaceae
Source: the annotation of a RefSeq genome assembly